This is a long non-coding RNA of Sinocyclocheilus grahami, 2940 nucleotides long. The record is from Ensembl. NCBI's taxonomy places the organism in Eukaryota, Metazoa, Chordata, Actinopteri, Cypriniformes, Cyprinidae.
AGAAAAAACGCUUUAAAGCGUUUUGAACGUUCAGAUAGCAAACAGAAAUAACGUUUUCGUGACUUAAUGGGAAUGUUAUUAAACGUUCUAGAACAUAUUUUUGGUGGCUGAAAAAAGUCUACAGAUGAGAAAAGUCUCGCGGAUGCUUUUGAGAUACGGCCACAGAAUCUCAGUACAGUAACGUUACAUAGGAAAUGACUCAGAGGAGUUGAACCCAACGCGUGGGUGUGGGCCAUAGUGGGCGCUAUUAAAACAAGACUGAAAGUUUGGGGUGGGUCAUUCACACGCGCUGCUUUUGCUAUGCUUGAACCCCAUUUGUGGCUUUUAAUCUUUUGAAAUCGCUGUGGGAUUUCAAUAUAUAUAAAGCUCAAUGGAUUCCGGUGCUAUGUUGCGUUGCAUCUAUUGGAUUACUCUAUUGAUCGCCACUCUUAUUCAUGGAACAAACGCGGAUAAAAGUUCAGCCCUUUGUUUGAAAUCCGAAUUCUGGAACAGAGAUGUCGCACAAUGUGUACCUUGUCAAAUAUGCAAACAGUAUCCGAAAACUCCAUCAUGUGACACAUGCCCACCCAUAGAGCCUUCAGAUUCCUGGAGGGUGGCAGCAAUUACCAGUUUAUCUGUCCUGGCAGCCGUAAUUGUUUGCGGAGCCUUGCUCAUAGGCAUUCUAGUGCAUCAAUUCAGGUCCAAGAGGACUUUACGUGAACCGAUUGAAGAGACAACAGGACCCCUUUAUCAAGUAUAGGAUCUUCAUAAGCUCAUGGAACUCAAGCUGACGAAAAUGAAAAUGGACUGUUACUCCAGUGAAUUAAUGCUCCAGUUGGUAAACGCUGGCUAGUACCUCAACCACAGAGUGUUCUAUGAGUAGCAUCUGAUUUGUCUAACUUAUUACAUUAGUAGGCUAUGUCAUGCAUAGCAAAUGGUUAUGCACAAAAGCUGCACUGAGACCUUCCUUGUCACUCACUGUGCAGAAUAGGUUUGCAAGCCUUGGUGCUAAGUGACAUCCUAUGGACAGCAUGAUAGCACUGUUUUUGCAGAAAUUUGAGGUCAUUCAUGUUGCACUUAGUGCACUGUAGAUGCAUUCCCACUUGAAUAUUCCUUGUUAGAUUUGUGAACAUGAUAAACAAAUAACCACAAACCGUUUAAUAUAGUAGACUUAGAGAUCAACUUUUUUAUACAAAUAUGCCUCCCUAAACAGAUUUAGUAUGGCACAGCCAUUUGAAUGUAUUUGUAAUCAUUGUUUGUACAGUUUAAUUAUCUAUUUUUAUAGUGUUGGAAUACUACGCACUGUAUAGAUGUAGCCCUUUGUACAACAAUGUUCUGACACUGACUGGCUCAGCAGCCUGUCUAUAGCAUUGAUGAACGUUCUGGAGACACUGAAGACCAGCGAAGCAACAGAAGGUGAUAACCUGAAAGACAAGAGUCGCCAGCUGACAUUAACAAACUCUUUGAGAAAGAGUCGCAGGUGUCAGAUUCCAUCAGAUUUUUGCUGCCUUUAUACGCAUAAGAGAUUAGAUAGUUUAGAGUGAUAUUUACAUGUAAGUAGUGAUAUUUACAUACAUGCAAUACAUUUAAUCUCCCGUGUUUUAUAAUUUCAGCUUACUAAAAUGUUUUGAAACGCAGUUUUAGAUGCGUGUAGCCAGCUGUGGGCAUUAUGGAAUGUAUAUAUUUAUAUACAGCAGAUGCUGAGUAAUCAACUUGUUUGAAUGACAAGAGGUUAAUCUCAUGAAACCUGUGAAGAACAUGUUUGAGUAACAUUUCAACCCAGAAUCAAAAGAAUUCAAUAAGAAAUAUUUUGCUUAAAGAAUUUGUUGCAUUGUUUUCAAGAAAACUUAAGCACACUUUAUACCCCAGUUCCCAAGAAUACUUUAUGUCCAUUCAUGUUGCACUUAGUGCACUGUAGAUGCAUUCCCACUUGAAUAUUCCUUGUUAGAUUUGUGAACAUGAUAAACAAAUAACCACAAACCGUUUAAUAUAGUAGACUUAGAGAUCAACUUUUUUUAUACAAAUAUGCCUCCCUAAACAGAUUUAGUAUGGCACAGCCAUUUGAAUGUAUUUGUAAUCAUUGUUUGUACAGUUUAAUUAUCUAUUUUUAUAGUGUUGGAAUACUACGCACUGUAUAGAUGUAGCCCUUUGUACAACAAUGUUCUGACACUGACUGGCUCAGCAGCCUGUCUAUAGCAUUGAUGAACGUUCUGGAGACACUGAAGACCAGCGAAGCAACAGAGGGUGAUAACCUGAAAGACAAGACUCGCCAGCUGACAUUAACAAACUCUUUGAGAAAGAGUCGCAGGUGUCAGAUUCCAUCUGAUUUUUGCUGCCUUUAUACACAUAAGAGAUUAGAUAGUUUAGAGUGAUAUUUACAUGUAAGUAGUGAUAUUUACAUACAUGCAAUACAUUUAAUCUCCCGUGUUUUAUAAUUUCAGCUUACUAAAAUGUUUUGAAACGCAGUUUUAGAUGCGUGUAGCCAGCUGUGGGCAUUAUGGAAUGUAUAUAUUUAUAUACAGCAGAUGCUGAGUAAUCAACUUGUUUGAAUGACAAGAGGUUAAUCUCAUGAAACCUGUGAAGAACAUGUUUGAGUAACAUUUCAACCCAGAAUCAAAAGAAUUCAAUAAGAAAUAUUUUGCUUAAAGAAUUUGUUGCAUUGUUUUCAAGAAAACUUAAGCACACUUUAUACCCCAGUUCCCAAGAAUACUUUAUGUACCUCAUUGUGAAUCACUGCCAUGUUUGUCAGAAAUCUAGGAACAUCAAGAAGCUAGUCCAGAAUCUUUAUCGAUAAACAUAAACCUGUGAAGCAUGCACGGCGCUGUCACAGUCUUAAGAAAAGUUGGUUGUGUAUUUGUGCCUUUACUCAUUCACAAUUACUCCACAGACUGCAGAGGAAACUAUGCAUUUUAAUACAAUAAAGAGACAACUAACGUACUGUAUUUGUCUGUUGAUGUUUUU